CCUACGGGGGGCAGCAGUGGGGGAUAUUGCACAAUGGGGGGAACCCUGAUGCAGCGACGCCGCGUGGGCGAUGGAGUGCUUCGGCAUGUAAAGCCCUAUCAGCAGGGAAGAAAAUGACGGUACCUGACUAAGAAGCCCCGGCUAAAUACGUGCCAGCAGCCGCGGUAAUACGUAUGGGGCAAGCGUUAUCCGGAUUUACUGGGUGUAAAGGGAGCGUAGGCGGCCUGGCAAGCCUGAUGUGAAAUACCGGGGCCCAACCCCGGGGCUGCAUUGGGAACUGCCAGGCUGGAGUGCCGGAGAGGCAGGCGGAAGUCCUAGUGUAGCGGUGAAAUGCGUAGAGAUUAGGAGGAACACCAGUGGCGAAGGCAUCUCACGAAUCCGCGAUUGACGCUGAUGCACGAAAGCGUGGGUAUCAAACAGGAUUAGAUACCCUUGUAGUC
Molecule: ribosomal RNA, 440 nt
Filed under: uncultured bacterium
Lineage: Bacteria
Description: partial 16S ribosomal RNA
Rfam family: Bacterial small subunit ribosomal RNA
Source: RNAcentral